UAACCUAUUAAACUGAUUUCGAUCUAUUUAACAAUUGGGUCAGGUUAUGACUUGACCCAUUUAAUAUUUUUAAAAUAUGUUUAACAUAUUUGUGAUCUAUUUAACCUGACCCACUUAAUCUAUUUAACCCAUUUAAUAUGACUUGAUUUGUUUAAUAAAUGGAUUAUAUGGAUCGAGUUAAGCCUUCAGAAUAUUAAAAGUCUUAUUAAGUUUCAUAAACUUAUAGGCAUC
Molecule: long non-coding RNA, 231 nt
Filed under: Elaeis guineensis (African oil palm)
Lineage: Eukaryota; Viridiplantae; Streptophyta; Magnoliopsida; Arecales; Arecaceae
Description: long non-coding RNA (EGUI_LNC070481)
Source: RNAcentral